UGAUACGUAGGGUGCGAGCGUUGUCCGGAAUUAUUGGGCGUAAAGAGCUUGUAGGCGGUUGAUUGCGUCAGAAGUGAAAUCUCAGGGCUUAACCCUGAGCGUGCUUCUGAUACGGGUUGACUAGAGGAAAGUAGGGGAGAACGGAAUUCCUGGUGGAGCGGUGGAAUGCGCAGAUAUCAGGAGGAACACCGGUGGCGAAGGCGGUUCUCUGGACUUUUCCUGACGCUGAGAAGCGAAAGCGUGGGGAGCAAACAGGCUUAGAUACCCUGGUAGUCCACGCCGUAAACGGUGGGUACUAGGUGUGGGGGACUUCCACGUUCUCCGUGCCGUAGCUAACGCAUUAAGUACCCCGCCUGGGGAGUACGGCCGCAAGGCUAAAACUUAAAUGAAUUGACGG
RNAcentral lists this ribosomal RNA (397 nucleotides) under uncultured bacterium. RNAcentral's name for it is "bacterial SSU rRNA". It matches the Rfam family "Bacterial small subunit ribosomal RNA", at positions 521 to 916 of the family's 1533-position model. The record is from RNAcentral.